This 433-nucleotide ribosomal RNA is filed under the name uncultured bacterium. RNAcentral describes it as "partial 16S ribosomal RNA". It matches the Rfam family "Bacterial small subunit ribosomal RNA", at positions 29 to 507 of the family's 1533-position model. The record is from RNAcentral.
AACGAACGCUGGCGGCAUGCCUAACACAUGCAAGUCGAACGAGACCUUCGGGUCUAUUGGCGCACGGGUGCGUAACGCGUGGGAACCUGCCCUUAGGUUCGGAAUAACUCCCCGAAAGGGGUGCUAAUACCGGAUAAUGUCUUCGGACCAAAGAUUUAUCGCCUUUGGAUGGGCCCGCGUUGGAUUAGCUAGUUGGUAGGGUAAAAGCCUACCAAGGCGACGAUCCAUAGCUGGUCUGAGAGGAUGAUCAGGCACACUGGGAGUGAGACACGGCCCAGUCUCAUACGGGAGGCAGCAGUCGGGAAUAUUAGACAAUGGGCGAGAGCCUGAUCCAGCAAUGCCGCGUGAGUGAUGAAGGCCUUAGGGUUGUAAAGCUCUUUUACCCGGGAUGAUAAUGACAGUACCGGAAGAAUAAGCGCCGACUAACUCCGUA